Molecule: ribosomal RNA, 519 nt
Filed under: uncultured eukaryote
Lineage: Eukaryota
Description: SSU rRNA
Rfam family: Eukaryotic small subunit ribosomal RNA
Source: RNAcentral
AGGGCACCACCAGGAGUGGAGCCUGCGGCUUAAUUUGACUCAACACGGGAAAUCUCACCAGGCCCGGACACCGGAAGGAUUGACAGAUUGAGAGCUCUUUCUUGAUUCGGUGGGUGGUGGUGCAUGGCCGUUCUUAGUUGGUGGAGCGAUUUGUCUGGUUAAUUCCGAUAACGAACGAGACUCUGGCCUACUAACUAGACGUUGGAUCCCUUUGUGGGUCCAUCGCAGCUUCUUAGAGGGACGGGCGGCGUUUAGCCGCACGAGAUUGAGCAAUAACAGGUCUGUGAUGCCCUUAGAUGUUCUGGGCUGCACGCGCGCUACACUGAAGGAAUCAGCGUGUGUUCCCUAUCCGAAAGGAUUGGGAAACCCGUCGAACCUCCUUCGUGAUGGGGAUUGGGGAUUGCAAUUAUUCCCCAUGAACGAGGAAUUCCCAGUAGGCGCGAGUCAUAAGCUUGCGUCGAUUACGUCCCUGCCCUUUGUACACACCGCCCGUCGCUACUACCGAUCGAGUGAUUUAGU